Molecule: long non-coding RNA, 953 nt
Organism: Corapipo altera (White-ruffed manakin)
Lineage: Eukaryota; Metazoa; Chordata; Aves; Passeriformes; Pipridae
Exons: 4
Source: RefSeq, a predicted model, not a curated record
GGUGGGUGCUGGGGAUGGUUCUUAGUCCCCUCAAGCUGGAUGCAGCCUUGCAGUUGCCUUGGCCUGUCUGUGUUUCCAUCUCCAUAUGGUGAGUGGAAUGAGUGUUUUGUAAUCUGGGUGAAAAUGUACAUUGUUCAUAUGUCUACUUUUGUGUUCUCACAUGAUCCCCAAAGAGGGAGACCACAGAACAGCUUUGGUGGAAGUUGAGCUGUGUGCAUCAGCUGCAGGAGCGCUCUGGAGACACUGAGGGGACUGGGCGUGUCUUGGGGACUGGUCUGUGAGGGUAAGGGAAGUUUCUCAAGCUCACAACAAAUUGCAGUGGAUUUAAAUAAAAAAUGUAGGUGCAGUGCUUAAUAAAGGGUACUGAAAUACUCUUUAUUUUCCAUUUCCCUAACAGGCUUUUUUCAAAAUUACUGCAAGAAGGACUUGAAGUAACCAAGCCUUGCCACUCAGGAGAGAGCAAAGGAUCUGAGAAGUGGCACAUGCCUCCUUCCCAAGCCCCCCACGUCUUGGCUGCUAGCCCUGGCUCCAACAGUCUCUGACUCGAAUGAACACUCAGACUGAAAACCAGGCUUUGCUGAUGUUGCAGAGGGAGGAUCUCAGCUGGAUGCACACGUUGCAGCCAUCCAAGGGGAAUCUGCAAAUGCCAGAAGGAGUUUUGAAGAUUGAAGGAGUAAAGCCAGAAGAACAGGUGGGCAGACUGAAAAUGAACACCCCACUGAGGAGACUUAGGACCCUCUGUACCUCCUGCGGUGGCCUGGAUGUGUCAGGAGUAGUUUCACCUGGAAAAUGUUCCCGCUCCUGGCCCGGCCGGUGCCGUCCCAACCUGGCACCGCGACAGCACGAAGCGGAGGAGCUCAGCGAGCCGUGGCAAGACGAACCAGGCAUGUUCCCCCCGGCUUGCUGAACGCAGGUGCCACAUUUUGCGAAUCCCGGUGUUUUUUCGGGAGCGU